This 117-nucleotide ribosomal RNA is filed under the name uncultured bacterium. RNAcentral's name for it is "partial 16S ribosomal RNA". The record is from RNAcentral.
GCACUUUAUUCCCCUAAAAAAGAAGUUUACAAUCCAUAGGACAUUCUUCCUUCACGCGACUUGGCUGGUUCAGGCUCUCGCCCAUUGACCAAUAUUCCUCACUGCUGCCUCCCGUAG